RNAcentral lists this ribosomal RNA (360 nucleotides) under uncultured bacterium. RNAcentral describes it as "bacterial SSU rRNA". It matches the Rfam family "Bacterial small subunit ribosomal RNA", at positions 114 to 507 of the family's 1533-position model. The record is from RNAcentral. RNAcentral also lists the same sequence under 1 other name.
CGCGUGGGAACGUGCCCCAAAGUGAGGAAUAACUGCCCGAAAGGGUAGCUAAUGCCGCAUAUGAUCUUCGGAUUAAAGGAUUUAUCCGCUUUGGGAGCGGCCCGCGUCGGAUUAGGUAGUUGGUGAGGUAAAGGCUCACCAAGCCGACGAUCCGUAGCUGGUCUGAGAGGAUGACCAGCCAGACUGGAACUGAGACACGGUCCAGACUCCUACGGGAGGCAGCAGUGAGGAAUCUUCCACAAUGGGCGAAAGCCUGAUGGAGCAACGCCGCGUGCAGGAUGAAGGCCUUCGGGUUGUAAACUGCUUUUAUAAGUGAGGAAUAUGACGGUAACUUAUGAAUAAGGAUCGGCUAACUACGUG